UGUACAGGAAAAGAGAGGCUCUCUCCAGGA
This 30-nucleotide non-coding RNA is filed under the name Homo sapiens (human). Lineage: Eukaryota; Metazoa; Chordata; Mammalia; Primates; Hominidae. The record is from RNAcentral.